This 532-nucleotide ribosomal RNA is filed under the name uncultured archaeon. RNAcentral describes it as "bacterial SSU rRNA". It matches the Rfam family "Archaeal small subunit ribosomal RNA", at positions 468 to 997 of the family's 1478-position model. The record is from RNAcentral.
CGGGAACACCGGCAGCUCUAGUGGUAGCUGUUUUAUUGGGCCUAAAGCGUUCGUAGCCGGUUUAAUAAGUCUCUGGUGAAAUCCGUAUAGCUUAACUGUGGGAAUUGCUGGAGAUACUAUUAGACUUGAGAUCGGGAGAGGUCAGAGGUACUCCUGGGGUAGGGGUGAAAUCCUGUAAUCCUAGGAGGGACCACCUGUGGCGAAGGCGUCUGACUAGAACGAAUCUGACGGUGAGGAACGAAAGCUAGGGGCGCGAACCGGAUUAGAUACCCGGGUAGUCCUAGCCGUAAACUAUGCGGACUUGGUGUGAGGGUGGCUUUGAGCCGUCCUGGUGCCGAAGGGAAGCUGUUAAGUCCGCCGCCUGGGAAGUACGGUCGCAAGACUGAAACUUAAAGGAAUUGGCGGGGAGCACCACAACGCGUGGAGCCUGCGGUUUAAUUGGAUUCAACGCCGGAGAUCUCACCAGCGGCGACAGCAGUAUGAUGACCAGGUUGAUGACUUUGUUUGACAAGCUGAGAGGGGUGGUGCAUGG